GAUGAACGCUGGCGGCGUGCUUAACACAUGCAAGUCGAACGAAGCAUUUAAGACAGAUUACUUCGGUUUGAAGUCUUUUAUGACUGAGUGGCGGACGGGUGAGUAACGCGUGGGUAACCUGCCUCAUACAGGGGGAUAGCAGCUGGAAACGGCUGGUAAUACCGCAUAAGCGCACAGUACCACAUGGUACAGUGUGAAAAACUCCGGUGGUAUGAGAUGGACCCGCGUCUGAUUAGCUUGUUGGCGGGGUAACGGCCCACCAAGGCGACGAUCAGUAGCCGACCUGAGAGGUGACCGGCCACAUUGGGACUGAGACACGGCCCAG
RNAcentral lists this ribosomal RNA (325 nucleotides) under Lactobacillus sp. RNAcentral describes it as "bacterial SSU rRNA". It matches the Rfam family "Bacterial small subunit ribosomal RNA", at positions 28 to 334 of the family's 1533-position model. The record is from RNAcentral. Lineage: Bacteria; Bacillati; Bacillota; Bacilli; Lactobacillales; Lactobacillaceae.